GGGCUGCCGUGCCCGGGAGCUGCCUCAGCACGGCCCGGCAGCGCGGGUACGCGGCCGGAGCGGCGCUGGCCCUGCCGGCCGGCCCGGCGCGGAGCUGGCAGCGCCCGCCGGCCCCGCCAGAGGGAGACAGAGCCCGGCGCUCCCGCCCGGAGCUGCGCCCAGCCCCGGCGGCGCCGGCAUUGGCCGUGUAGGGCGAGGAGGGAGAGGGGCACCCACACGCCCAAGGGAGGUCCUGCUGCUGUCCUGUGAUGGUCAGGCAUCCUUCAGGCUGGUGGAGAGAAAAAUCCUGGGCAUUGGCAGGCUUGCCGGGACUCCUGGGAGCUACUUGAAGAGACCUCAGGGUCAAAAUGCCCCUUACUAUUCUGAGCCCAGAGGUCCUCCCAGCACCAGCACAGCUGCCACAGUCCUCAUCUGCUGCAGCCUCAGAUGGUUCCUGCUGAACUUCUGUUUUCACAUAUGCAGUUCCAUUAUUUAUGAUGUGGAUCUCCCAUACAGCCCUAUUGGUAUGAGCAAUCAUUGUGAACAUCACCUACUUUUACCACAGAAAUCUUUAAUCUUUUUUCUUUUUUUUUAAUAUGUCUUUAUGCCCUUUUUUUUUUAAUAUGUCUUCAUGCCAUCCCCAUAGGCUCAAAUAUGCAGGCACUAGGUCCCACUGUAACAUCAGUAUCAAGUGUCUGAAAUUCUUGCACCAAAAAUAUUGCUUAUGUUACAAAUGAGAAAUAAUAGCACUUGUGUCAGUAAAGAAUGAUUCAUCAUUCUGUAAGGCUUUGGCAAUGUGACAAAGGGAAAAUAUUCAGGAAAAGAGAAUAUUUUCCCAGUGUUGGUAAAAUGUUCAAUAAAAUAAAUAUGAUUUCCCUAGAGAUCACGGGCAACGAACAUCUAAUUUCAGCCUUUACAGGAAAGUGUCACUGUUUCUUUUAUUCUUUCUAACUCCACAGAAUAAGGGAUGUAUUUAUAAAAGAUUAAUAUCGAGAUAGUGGGUUUCCCAGGAAAGAUAUUUACCAUUGCUACACUUUCUUUUGACUCUUCAUAAAUGUACACAUGCUCUCAGUAUUAAUUGCCAGAUAGUUAUUUGGUGCAGCCUUGGGCACACACUAUUCAUAGAAUAAUGGAAUCAUAGAAUCAUAGCAUCACAGUAUAUGCUGAGUUAGGAAACAAAAAGCAAAGGAUAAGGAAAAGAAACCAACAGCUAAUCCCUUAUGCCAGAAAUGACCACACUUCUGGAGACAUAUGAAAACUUUUUAAACCUCACAUUUGAUAGGCCAAUUUAAACCAGAUUAUGAUCUUGAUAUGAUAUUCCAGUCCAUCUCCAUUGAAGAAAGCAUUUCAGGACCCAUUCAAUGUCAAACACCCUUAUGAAGAUAAGCAUCUCUCUGAGAGGUUUCUUGACUGUGUACGCUCCACCACAGGAUGGGUUUGCCUGCUUUUGGUGCAGCUGCCCAAACCAGCCAGCCACAAGAGUAGGAGCCUCUCCUUCUGGCAUUUCUGCCUGGAGGGUGUUUGAGAUAAUAUUGUUACUCUGUGACAGAGAAAGUAAAACCUUUGGAUGCAAAACCUUGUGAAAUACAGUGAUUUACUUAAAUAAAGGCAAACAUAAAAAAGAAAAGUAGUGAACAAAGUAGAAAAAAUGUAUCUUAGUUAUCUUUGACAGAUAUUUGAAUUGAGCAAUAAAUGAAAUUUACUUUGUUCUUCA
RNA transcript from Taeniopygia guttata (zebra finch), 1693 nucleotides. RefSeq lists it as uncharacterized. The record is from RefSeq and is a predicted model, not a curated record. Lineage: Eukaryota; Metazoa; Chordata; Aves; Passeriformes; Estrildidae.